RNAcentral lists this ribosomal RNA (303 nucleotides) under uncultured eukaryote. Its description in RNAcentral is "partial 18S ribosomal RNA". It matches the Rfam family "Eukaryotic small subunit ribosomal RNA", at positions 1470 to 1796 of the family's 1831-position model. The record is from RNAcentral.
CCCUUAGAUGUUCUGAACCGCACGCGUGUUACACUGAUGCAUUCAACGAGCUUUACCUUGGCCGAGAGGCCUGGGAAAUCUUUUUAGCAUGCAUCGUGAUAGGGAUUGAUUAUUGCAAUUAUUAAUCAUGAACGAGGAAUUCCUAGUAAACGCAUUUCAUCAAAAUGCAUUGAUUACGUCCCUGCCCUUUGACCGAUUGAGUGGUCCGGUGAAGUCUCGAGAUUGUGGCAAUCUCCUUUAUUGGAGUUUGACUGCGAGAACUUGCCUAAACCUUAUCACUUAGAGGAAGGUGAAGUCGUAACA